RNAcentral lists this ribosomal RNA (243 nucleotides) under uncultured bacterium. RNAcentral's name for it is "partial 16S ribosomal RNA". It matches the Rfam family "Bacterial small subunit ribosomal RNA", at positions 29 to 271 of the family's 1533-position model. The record is from RNAcentral.
AACGAACGCUGGCGGCAGGCUUAACACAUGCAAGUCGAGCGGUAAGGCCCUUUCGGGGGUACGACGAGCGGCGAACGGGUGAGUAACACGUGGGUGACCUGCCCUCAGCUCUGGGAUAAGCCUGGGAAACCGGGUCUAAUACUGGAUAUGACUCCAUGACGCAUGUUGUGGGGUGGAAAGCCUUGUGCGGCUGAGGAUGGGCCCGCGGCCUAUCAGCUUGUUGGUGGGGUAAUGGCCUACCAA